AAUGACCCCAAGUCGGCACUUGGUUCUGCAGUCCUGUGCAAUGUGUAUGCUGUUACCAUCAAUGGGGAUUAGGUGUAUGCACCAAGGCUGCAGGACAGAGUGGGUCUUUCCAGCCUGCCCCAUUCACCACAGUCCUUUCCCCAAAGGAUUUCCCGCUGCAGCUGCUUUUCACAGGGCCAGGAUGGUAACAGUUUUAACGGGAGGGUGGCUUCUCUUCCCUUUUCUUCUGCUCACUUUUUCACUUACACCCACCUUCCCUCAACUUGAGCCCUGACUACAGGUGAAUAAACUGCCUGCUGGUUCUGCUUCCUUGCCUUCCCCAGCUGAUGGCACAGAGGAGGUCACAAGUCACUGGAAAUAAAGGGGACCCUUAAAGAGGAGACUGUCAUUGCCCGGAUGGCUGGGCAGAGAGAAGAUUCUCCUCUGCCAGGAGCCAGCAAAAGUUGAAGAUCCCAUGAUCUUGCUACACCCUUUCUGUGUCGAGCCGCUGGGGUAUCCCACAGAUGGGGGCUUGCACAAAGGGGCUUCAUAAUCCAGGGCUGGAGCCAUCACAAGCUGUUACCACAGGCGUUUUAUUCAAUUGACUCUCCCCACAGUAAUAAGGUGCUUUAAUUAUCGCCAGAGGCUGCAAGUGAAGGCACCAUCCCAUUUGUAGCAGCAUCUCAUCAUGGCAGGAGGGAGUGGGGCAAUGAGAGGACCUAGAAGGAGCAAAGCCCAAAUGAUCUCCAUGACUAGCACAACUAGCAGGAGAGUUCACAGCAGGACAAGGGAAAGGCUGAACUGAACGGGGCCCGAUUCAGAAAGGGAUGCAAGCCAGCACCUAACUAACUCUAAACAGCAGUUGCUGAGGCCACAGCGUGUGUGUGGAAAGAGCCAGGACACUUCACAACUGUGUGCUAUUUAAACAGAAAACAUGCAAGAUUUUGUUGCCGGGGUGGGGGGAGGAGGAUCAAAUGAAAGGCAUGGUGCGCUUUUGCUUUGACUCUGCCUCCGACCCGAAGCGAACAAAGGCAACAUUAUACCUUGUGCUGGAAAAGGAGUGACUUGGAUGCACAUGCAGAGCAGUUCCUGCAUGCUGGGCUCCUUAUAAAUAUCCCCAUUGGUAAAGGCUGAAGUCAAGCUGACCGCAGAAUGAUCUGCCCACCUAAUAAA
This is a non-coding RNA of Chrysemys picta bellii (western painted turtle), 1152 nucleotides long. Lineage: Eukaryota; Metazoa; Chordata; Testudines; Emydidae. The record is from RefSeq and is a predicted model, not a curated record.